UUUCCAACACUGUACGAUGCCUC
This 23-nucleotide non-coding RNA is filed under the name Cricetulus griseus (Chinese hamster). Lineage: Eukaryota; Metazoa; Chordata; Mammalia; Rodentia; Cricetidae. The record is from RNAcentral.